AAGGCAGCCAAGUUCGGUGCUGGAGGAGCAGGAGCCUUGGGAGGUCUGGUGCCAGGGGUCGGAGACGGAGUGGCAGGUGUCCCAGGCACAGGAGUGGUGCCAGGAGCAGGGAUUCCAGCCGCUGCAGCCGCCAAAGCCGCUGCCAAAGCCGCCCAGUUUGGGUUAGGGCCCGGUAUUGGCGUGGGUCCCGGUGUGGGUCCCGGCGUGGGUCCUGGCAUUGGUCCUGGUAUUGGCAUUGUCCCCGGUGCUGUUACAGGAGUAGGGGCCCCCGCUGCAGCCAAAGCCGCUGCGAAAGCAGCCGCCAAAGCCCAGUUCCGGGCUGCAGCUGGGCUUCCUGCUGGCGUUCCUGGAUUAGGGGUUGGUGCCGGCGUUCCUGGAUUCGGAGUUGGUGCUGGCGUUCCUGGAUUCGGAGUUGGUGCUGGUGUUCCCGGAUUUGGGGCAGGUGCAGUACCUGGAACCCUGGCUGCGGCUAAGGCAGCCAAAUAUGGUGAGUGCACCCCACACACGGCCCCCUGUGGUUGGUUUGCUUGCUGUCCCACCAGCCCUGAUAACACCUGGUCACCCAUCUCCCCUCCGCGGGGCCGGGGCCCAGUGCCCAGAGCCUGCAGCACAGCGCUGGGAGGGUCAGGGAGGAAAAAGGCCGUUUCUAGGACACACUAAUGAUGGGUGAGGAGACCUGGCCCCAGCCCGCUAAACGCCUAUCAUGCCUCCAGCUCCAGGACAACUCAAAAUGCCCCUCACAGUUCCAAAGCCCCUAGUGGCAGUUCCUU
Molecule: long non-coding RNA, 770 nt
Filed under: Ursus maritimus (polar bear)
Lineage: Eukaryota; Metazoa; Chordata; Mammalia; Carnivora; Ursidae
Description: lncRNA (ENSUMAG00000014008.1)
Source: RNAcentral